CGGACGGGUGAGUAAUGCCUAGGAAUCUGCCUGGUAGUGGGGGACAACGUUUCGAAAGGAACGCUAAUACCGCAUACGUCCUACGGGAGAAAGCAGGGGACCUUCGGGCCUUGCGCUAUCAGAUGAGCCUAGGUCGGAUUAGCUAGUUGGUGAGGUAAUGGCUCACCAAGGCGACGAUCCGUAACUGGUCUGAGAGGAUGAUCAGUCACACUGGAACUGAGACACGGUCCAGACUCCUACGGGAGGCAGCAGUGGGGAAUAUUGGACAAUGGGCGAAAGCCUGAUCCAGCCAUGCCGCGUGUGUGAAGAAGGUCUUCGGAUUGUAAAGCACUUUAAGUUGGGAGGAAGGGUUGUAGAUUAAUACUCUGCAAUUUUGACGUUACCGACAGAAUAAGCACCGGCUAACUCUGUGCCAGCAGCCGCGGUAAUACAGAGGGUGCAAGCGUUAAUCGGAAUUACUGGGCGUAAAGCGCGCGUAGGUGGUUCGUUAAGUUGGAUGUGAAAGCCCCGGGCUCAACCUGGGAACUGCAUUCAAAACUGACGAGCUAGAGUAUGGUAGAGGGUGGUGGAAUUUCCUGUGUAGCGGUGAAAUGCGUAGAUAUAGGAAGGAACACCAGUGGCGAAGGCGACCACCUGGACUGAUACUGACACUGAGGUGCGAAAGCGUGGGGAGCAAACAGGAUUAGAUACCCUGGUAGUCCACGCCGUANACGAUGUCAACUAGCCGUUGGGAGCCUUGAGCUCUUAGUGGCGCAGCUAACGCAUUAAGUUGACCGCCUGGGGGAGUACGGGCC
RNAcentral lists this ribosomal RNA (794 nucleotides) under soil bacterium Dicl-S3N-M1LLLSSL-3. RNAcentral's name for it is "bacterial SSU rRNA". It matches the Rfam family "Bacterial small subunit ribosomal RNA", at positions 99 to 888 of the family's 1533-position model. The record is from RNAcentral.